AUAAAGGGUUUCACAUAUUUGCGCUUUCUUAAUUUCAUGUUUAUCUUCUGCUUCAAGGGCACCCCCUGAUCGGGCAGGUACAAGUGGCUUGUCUCCAUCUACCUCUUCGUGGGCACCUCCUGAUCGGGCAGGUCCAAGUGGCUUGUCUCCAUCUACCUCUACCUCUUCGUGGGCACCUCCUGAUCGGGCAGCUUGGAAAAAUGUCCUUUGUCCGAAAGGAGCAACAGCCCUCUACAGGAGACAACUGUUAAGGGAGAAGGAAACGGAGCCUCCAAUUCGAGCCAGCAUAGAAAUAAGAGGGGACCAAAUAUCCCAAAGUAGAGAGAUUCUCAUGUUUUACAAAACCCCUGAUGUUGACUGGGCAUGUCCCCUACAUUGUACUCUACAAGGUGACCCAGCUGUUGGAGUCGGAGUGAAUCGCCAUUAUCUUAGUUUGGCUAUGUCAAAACUCCAAAAUGGCUUCAAUGUGAACACUGGUAUGUCAUUUGUUUACAUAUCCUUCAUGGUUGUUGAGGAUGACAUUUUGUGUGAAAGAUUACGCCUUGAGUAUGUGAAAUGAG
This 560-nucleotide long non-coding RNA is filed under the name Gouania willdenowi (blunt-snouted clingfish). Its description in RNAcentral is "lncRNA (ENSGWIG00000002538.1)". The record is from RNAcentral. Lineage: Eukaryota; Metazoa; Chordata; Actinopteri; Blenniiformes; Gobiesocidae.